RNAcentral lists this non-coding RNA (45 nucleotides) under Schistosoma curassoni. Lineage: Eukaryota; Metazoa; Platyhelminthes; Trematoda; Strigeidida; Schistosomatidae. The record is from RNAcentral.
AUCCAACUGACGAGUCCUAAAUGGGACGAAACGCGCGUCCUGGAU